CCCUUAGAUGUUCUGGGCCGCACGCGCGCUACACUGACGAAUGCAACGAGCUUAUAACCUUGGCCGAAAGGUCUGGGUAAUCUCCAAAUUUCGUCGUGAUGGGGAUAGAUUAUUGCAAUUAUUAAUCUUCAACGAGGAAUGCCUAGUAAGCGCGAGUCAUCAGCUUGCGUUGAUUACGUCCCUGCCCUUUGUACACACCGCCCGUCGCUCCUACCGAUUGAAUGGUCCGGUGAAGCGUUCGGACCGUGGCCUUUGGACGGUUCGCCGUCUGUUGGCUGCGGGAAGUUCGUUAAACCUUAUCAUUUAGAGGAAGGAGAANUCGUANCA
Molecule: ribosomal RNA, 327 nt
Filed under: uncultured eukaryote
Lineage: Eukaryota
Description: partial 18S ribosomal RNA
Rfam family: Eukaryotic small subunit ribosomal RNA
Source: RNAcentral